AUGGACUUCAUUCAAGCCGAGGAACGGAUAAAAGACUCUAAAACCGUAUUUUUCCUUUGUCCCAGCACUGCUGAAAAAGCAUCGGAGGAAGGUUUUGUCACCGGCACGCCGCCUGCACAGCGCCCGCGCUGCCACAUAACGCAGCCUCGAAGAUCCGAGGCUGGUUUCCCCCCAGUCACGCUUUGCUGGGCGCCUCGCUCCGGCUGCGGGCAGGCAGCAACAGGUGCACGGUGCACGGCGCCCGCUUUGUGUACGCGGCAGCUGCGAGCGGGGCAGGGAGCGGCGCGCUCCCAGCCACAAAGCGCCCGGAGAAUAAUGCCCGGUGACGAUCAAAGCGCUCCUGAUGAGGCACAAAGCUCCAGGGAGAGAAUUCGCUCUGUGUCGCGGCCGAAAACGGCGUCGGGAGCGGGGAAGGAGCGGACGGACCGUGUGGGCAUGGCGCCGGGGCAGCCGUUCCUGCAGGAGAUAUUUCUAAACAUCAUGUUGAAUGCACCCCCGUGUAACUCCAGAUCCAAGUUUAUGCUGAUGUAACUCCUCUAACAAAAGGAUGAACUUUAGUGAUGAUGGUCAGUGAAGUUGUCUUUAAACAGCUCUUUGUUCUACUGUACGGGCAUAUGAUGGGGAAAAAAAAGAAAGCUACAUUUCACUGGUAAGUAGAACUUCAUAGACCUUAGACAUCUUGUAAAUGCUUUAAAAUAUUGGUACGUAGCAUAUUUCUGUGUAAAAUAAAUCAGAUGCUCUUUUCCA
Molecule: long non-coding RNA, 747 nt
Filed under: Numida meleagris (helmeted guineafowl)
Lineage: Eukaryota; Metazoa; Chordata; Aves; Galliformes; Numididae
Description: lncRNA (ENSNMEG00000020699.1)
Source: RNAcentral